UGGUAAUGCGACAGAUGGUAGACUUCGCGACAUGGCAAGUGAUGAAUCACCGACCUUGGAUAGGUACAUUGUGCUACGCGAUUUGGCACGAUUCUUCGCUCUCUUUUUGGUUCGUUUCUGAGAUCGUUCCCGAAAGCACGGAUUCAUGAUCAUUUUUGAGAUGUCGAAGCAAACAGAUGAGGUUCUUUUUGUGGCGUGACGACAACUGAUGAGAAUGCAUCCGC
Non-coding RNA from Caenorhabditis elegans, 224 nucleotides. The record is from Ensembl. NCBI's taxonomy places the organism in Eukaryota, Metazoa, Nematoda, Chromadorea, Rhabditida, Rhabditidae.